AAGCCUGAUCCAGCAAUGCCGCGUGCAGGAUGUAGGCCUUCGGGUUGUAAACUGCUUUUGUACGGAACGAAACGGUUCUCUCUAAUACAGGGGGCUAAUGACGGUACCGUAAGAAUAAGCACCGGCUAACUCCGUGCCAGCAGCCGCGGUAAUACGUAGGGUGCGAGCGUUAAUCGGAAUUACUGGGCGUAAAGCGUGCGCAGGCGGUGAUGUAAGACAGAUGUGAAAUCCCCGGGCUCAACCUGGGACCUGCAUUUGUGACUGCAUCGCCGGAGUGCGGCAGAGGGGGAUGGAAUUCCGCGUGUAGCAGUGAAAUGCGUAGAUAUGCGGAGGAACACCGAUGGCGAAGGCAAUCCCCUGGGCCUGCACUGACGCUCAUGCACGAAAGCGUGGGGAGCAAACAGGAUUAGAUACCCUGGCAGUCCACGCCCUAAACGAUGUCAACUGGUUGUUGGGUCUUCACUGACUCAGUAACGAAGCUAACGCGUGAAGUUGACCGCCUGGGGAGUACGGCCGCAAGGUUGA
RNAcentral lists this ribosomal RNA (525 nucleotides) under uncultured Comamonadaceae bacterium. RNAcentral describes it as "bacterial SSU rRNA". It matches the Rfam family "Bacterial small subunit ribosomal RNA", at positions 379 to 897 of the family's 1533-position model. Lineage: Bacteria; Pseudomonadati; Pseudomonadota; Betaproteobacteria; Burkholderiales; Comamonadaceae. The record is from RNAcentral.